Molecule: ribosomal RNA, 255 nt
Filed under: uncultured bacterium
Lineage: Bacteria
Description: partial 16S ribosomal RNA
Rfam family: Bacterial small subunit ribosomal RNA
Source: RNAcentral
UACGUAGGGUGCAAGCGUUUGUCCGGAAUUAUUGGGCGUAAAGAGCUCGUAGGCGGUUUGUCGCGUCUGCUGUGAAAACCCGAGGCUCAACCUCGGGCCUGCAGUGGGUACGGGCAGACUAGAGUGCGGUAGGGGAGAUUGGAAUUCCUGGUGUAGCGGUGGAAUGCGCAGAUAUCAGGAGGAACACCAAUGGCGAAGGCAGAUCUCUGGGCCGUAACUGACGCUGAGGAGCGAAAGCAUGGGGGAGCGAACAGG